UCAAACUUGGUCAUUUAGAGGAAGUAAAAGUCGUAACAAGGUCUCCGUAGGUGAACCUGCGGAGGGAUCAUUACCGAGAGAGGGCCCCCCGGGCCCGACCUCCAACCCUUUGUGAUUAUACCUCUGUUGCCUCGGGGGCGACCCGGUCCUCCGGACGUCGGGGCCCCCGGCCGGCCACUUAUCAAACUCGCAUCUUUGCGUCGGAUACGAAAGUCAAUUGAUGAAAACUUUCAACAACGGAUCUCUUGGUUCUGGCAUCGAUGAAGAACGCAGC
RNAcentral lists this unclassified non-coding RNA (274 nucleotides) under uncultured fungus. RNAcentral describes it as "partial contains small subunit ribosomal RNA, internal transcribed spacer 1, and 5.8S ribosomal RNA". The stretch from base 1 to 73 matches the Rfam family "Eukaryotic small subunit ribosomal RNA", at positions 1759 to 1831 of the family's 1831-position model. The record is from RNAcentral. Lineage: Eukaryota; Fungi.